UCAGGACGAACGCUGGCGGCGUGCCUAAUACAUGCAAGUCGAGCGGACAGAAGGGAGCUUGCUCCCGGAUGUUAGCGGCGGACGGGUGAGUAACACGUGGGUAACCUGCCUGUAAGACUGGGAUAACUCCGGGAAACCGGAGCUAAUACCGGAUAGUUCCUUGAACCGCAUGGUUCAAGGAUGAAAGACGGUUUCGGCUGUCACUUACAGAUGGACCCGCGGCGCAUUAGCUAGUUGGUGGGGUAAUGGCUCACCAAGGCGACGAUGCGUAGCCGACCUGAGAGGGUGAUCGGCCACACUGGGACUGAGACACGGCCCAGACUCCUACGGGAGGCAGCAGUAGGGAAUCUUCCGCAAUGGACGAAAGUCUGACGGAGCAACGCCGCGUGAGUGAUGAAGGUUUUCGGAUCGUAAAGCUCUGUUGUUAGGGAAGAACAAGUGCGAGAGUAACUGCUCGC
This 458-nucleotide ribosomal RNA is filed under the name Bacillus sp. DJ27. RNAcentral's name for it is "bacterial SSU rRNA". It matches the Rfam family "Bacterial small subunit ribosomal RNA", at positions 24 to 472 of the family's 1533-position model. The record is from RNAcentral. Lineage: Bacteria; Bacillati; Bacillota; Bacilli; Caryophanales; Bacillaceae.